This 457-nucleotide ribosomal RNA is filed under the name uncultured bacterium. RNAcentral's name for it is "bacterial SSU rRNA". It matches the Rfam family "Bacterial small subunit ribosomal RNA", at positions 340 to 786 of the family's 1533-position model. The record is from RNAcentral.
UACGGAAGGCAGCAGUGGGGAAUAUUGCACAAUGGGCGAAAGCCUGAUGCAGCUAUGCCGCGUGUAUGAAGAAGGCCUUAGGGUUGUAAAGUACUUUCAUCGGGGAGGAAAAAACAAAACUAAUAAUUUUAUUUCUUGACGUUACCCGAAAAAGAAGCACCGGCUAACUCCGUGCCAGCAGCCGCGGUAAUACGGAGGGUGCUAGCGUUAAUCAGAAUUACUGGGCGUAAAGAGCACGUAGGUGGUUUUUUUAAAGUCAGAUGUGAAAUCCCUGGGCUUAACCUAGGAACUGCAUUUUGAAACUGAAAUACUAGAGUAUCGUAGAGGGAGGUAGAAUUCUAGGUGUAGCGGUGAAAUGCGUAGAUAUCUGGAGGAAUACCUGUGGCGAAAGCGGCCUCCUAAACAAAUACUGACACUGAGGUGCGAAAGCGUGGGGAGCAAACAGGGAUUAGAUACC